GCUGGCGGCAGGCCUAACACAUGCAAGUCGAGCGGUAACAUUUCUAGCUUGCUAGAAGAUGACGAGCGGCGGACGGGUGAGUAACGCGUAGAAAUCUACCUAGUAGUGGGGGAUAGCCCAGAGAAAUUUGGAUUAAUACCGCAUACGCCCUACGGGGGAAAGCGGGGGAUCUUCGGACCUUGUGCUAUUAGAUGAGUCUGCGUCGGAUUAGCUUGUUGGUGAGGUAAUGGCUCACCAAGGCGACGAUCCGUAGCUGGUCUGAGAGGAUGACCAGCCACACUGGAACUGAGACACGGUCCAGACUCCUACGGGAGGCAGCAGUGGGGAAUAUUGCACAAUGGGCGCAAGCCUGAUGCAGCCAUGCCGCGUGUGUGAAGAAGGCCUUAGGGUUGUAAAGCACUUUCAGCAGUGAGGAAAGGGGUGUCGUUAAUAGCGCCAUCCUGUGACGUUAACUGCAGAAGAAGGACCGGCUAACUCCGUG
This 481-nucleotide ribosomal RNA is filed under the name uncultured bacterium. RNAcentral describes it as "bacterial SSU rRNA". It matches the Rfam family "Bacterial small subunit ribosomal RNA", at positions 35 to 507 of the family's 1533-position model. The record is from RNAcentral.